This 486-nucleotide ribosomal RNA is filed under the name uncultured bacterium. RNAcentral's name for it is "partial 16S ribosomal RNA". It matches the Rfam family "Bacterial small subunit ribosomal RNA", at positions 30 to 507 of the family's 1533-position model. The record is from RNAcentral.
AUUGAACGCUGGCGGCAUGCCUUACACAUGCAAGUCGAACGGCAGCACGGGUGCUUGCACCUGGUGGCGAGUGGCGAACGGGUGAGUAAUACAUCGGAACAUGUCCUGUAGUGGGGGAUAGCCCGGCGAAAGCCGGAUUAAUACCGCAUACGAUCCACGGAUGAAAGCGGGGGACCUUCGGGCCUCACGCUAUAGGGUUGGCCGAUGGCUGAUUAGCUAGUUGGUGGGGUAAAGGCCUACCAAGGCGACGAUCAGUAGCUGGUCUGAGAGGACGACCAGCCACACUGGGACUGAGACACGGCCCAGACUCCUACGGGAGGCAGCAGUGGGGAAUUUUGGACAAUGGGCGAAAGCCUGAUCCAGCAAUGCCGCGUGUGUGAAGAAGGCCUUCGGGUUGUAAAGCACUUUUGUCCGGAAAGAAAUCCUUGGCUCUAAUACAGUCGGGGGAUGACGGUACCGGAAGAAUAAGCACCGGCUAACUACGUG